This is a long non-coding RNA of Uranotaenia lowii, 1027 nucleotides long. RefSeq lists it as uncharacterized. The record is from RefSeq and is a predicted model, not a curated record. The transcript is spliced from 3 exons. NCBI's taxonomy places the organism in Eukaryota, Metazoa, Arthropoda, Insecta, Diptera, Culicidae.
AACGCGCGCCAUUUUAUUUUGUGAUCGCGUUGUUCUGGAGUGGCUGAAAAUUUAGAAAGUGCUUAAAAAAUAUUGGAUAUUUCGGAAUUUGGGAUGGAAGAAAUUCAAAGAAACGAUCCAGAGACCCAUGCGCUGUUGGAGGAAAACAGCUACGAAUACGACGUGGUCAUCAACGAAGGCGCUAGGAUGAAUUGGCUUUUUCUUCGUAAGCGGUCCAAAUCGGAGCCAAAAUAACUGUGUUGGAGAUUGUCAAACUUUAGCCUCUAGGAACGAAAUAGGCCUCGGCAGUAUUGUCACUGCGAAUUUGAACUUCUUCCGGACCAAUUUAUCGAUCGUACAAAGAAAAAUUCAGAUCUGAAGGAGAACAUACAUAAGAAUCGCUAUCCGGAUAACAGAUCUUAUGACCAAACGCGGGUCAAAUAGUCGACGAUGAACGGUCUCUCUGGCUCUGAUUAUAUCAAUGCCAAUUUCGUAAUCGGUUACAAGGAACGUAAAAAGUUUAAUCUUCGCUCAAGGACCCAUGGACAGUGCAGUGAACGAUUUCUGGCAAAUGAUUUAGGAACAGCAUUUGGAAAUUAUUGUCAUGUUGACCAACUUGGAGGAGUACAAUAAAAUGAAAUGUGCCAAAUAUUGGCCGGAGAAUUUUAACGACUCGACACAGUAUGGAGAGCUGGGCAUUACUUUUACUUCCGAUAGCUACUAUGCCGAUUAUAUAUUGCGAAAUUUGAAGGUUACAAAACGAUCUAUCAACUCAGCUGGCGAAGAUAUAGAAGACAAACGAUACAUCUCUCAGUUCCACUAUUUGAUCUGGAAGGAUUUCAUGGCACCGGAACACCCACAAAGAAUCACCAAAUUCAUCAAACGCAUCAAUUCAGAAUACUCAUAGCAGCGUGUUGGUGUUGGUCGAACCGGUACUUUCGUGGCCCUCGAUACACUGUCACAGCAAUUCAACGAGGAAGGUCAGGUUUUCAUCUUCAACACAAUUUGUGAUAUGCGAUAUCAAAAAAAUUUUCUCGUUCAGUCACUG